Molecule: ribosomal RNA, 121 nt
Organism: Ictidomys tridecemlineatus (thirteen-lined ground squirrel)
Lineage: Eukaryota; Metazoa; Chordata; Mammalia; Rodentia; Sciuridae
Source: Ensembl
GUCUCUGUCCAUAUCAUCCUGAACCCGCCUAAUCUUGUCUGUUCUGGAAGCUAAGGAGGGUCAAGCCUGCUUAGUACUUGGACGGAAGACCAAAAUGGCCCUGGGAAGGCUCUCUGAAGCC